Molecule: non-coding RNA, 864 nt
Organism: Paramuricea clavata
Lineage: Eukaryota; Metazoa; Cnidaria; Anthozoa; Malacalcyonacea; Plexauridae
Source: the annotation of a GenBank genome assembly
GUGGAAAUUCCUUUCAUAUUGUAUGGACAACCUGACUGGCUCAGUUUUCAGAUCUCACCUGAAGAAGGCAAGCUCUCAGUUACACCAGGAAGAUAUUUUAUGGAUAUAAACACUAACUGGACUGACCUGGUCAAAGUAAAGUCAAUACAACAUUGGUCAUGGAAAUAUUGUCAAAACAAUAGAAUUGUGUUGGCAAGGAAAUUAAUCUGGAAAUAAUAAAUAGUUCUGCCAACCAGGCCAGCCUGGCUUCCAUAUUGAUAGCCCCUAUGGCUAUAAUCUAUUCUUGCUUAUUGCAGAAUGCUCCCACAAUGAGUUCAUGCCACUGUUGUUAGAGAACCUCCAAGAAACAUGUAUUAAUUGUUUCAAAAUUAAUUAAAGACAAAAAUUUGCUUGAUUUUGUAUAUUUAUUUAUUUAUUUUAAUUCAACUUGCAUGGUUAAAGAAUAAUUAUCCAAUUGGGACGUUCCAGAAAAGAUCCACACUCCCCCCACCGAGGAAAUUUCUGCCGUCCGGAGGGGGAGGGGAGAAAAAAUUGUUUCUGAUAAUAGUAAAUGUACGUAAUUUCCUCCGUGGGGGUGGUAUGGAUGUUUUCUGGAAUAUGACCCAUUAGCAGUAAAUAAUAUUAAAACCUAACUGUACAAUCAAGUUACAUGUAAUACUUAACAGUAUUAUUAAAAAAUUAAAACUAGAGCUCAUGGGUUAUUCUUUGGCUGUUUGUAGUACAUACAUAUAAAUAACACAUUCCCACAAAAUUAUAGAGAAAAGUAAUUGUUAGUUCUGGCAUGCAGUUAAGUCUGGCAAGAGCUAGUGCACCACUUAACUCUUGCUAUUUGAACAUUCGAAAGAACUUGUAUUAAUUUCUUGU